This 274-nucleotide ribosomal RNA is filed under the name uncultured bacterium. RNAcentral's name for it is "partial 16S ribosomal RNA". It matches the Rfam family "Bacterial small subunit ribosomal RNA", at positions 523 to 796 of the family's 1533-position model. The record is from RNAcentral.
CUACGGAGGGUGCGAGCGUUAAUCGGAAUUACUGGGCGUAAAGCGUACGUAGGCGGUUGGUUAAGUUAGAUGUGAAAGCCCCGGGCUUAACCUGGGAACUGCAUUUAAAACUGGCGAGCUAGAGUUGAGUAGAGGGGAGUGGAAUUUCAGGUGUAGCGGUGAAAUGCGUAGAGAUCUGAAGGAACACCAGUGGCGAAGGCGACUCCCUGGACUCGAACUGACGCUGAGGUACGAAAGCGUGGGUAGCAAACGGGAUUAGAAACCCCAGUAGUCC